UCAAGUAAUUAAGUGCAUGUGGUGGAUGCCUUGGCAGUCAGAGGCGAUGAAAGACGUGAUAGCCUGCGAAAAGCUCCGGGGAGGCGGCAAAUAUCCUUUGAUCCGGAGAUGUCUGAAUGGGGGAACCCACCUACUUUAAGGUAGGUAUUGCAACAUGAAUACAUAGUGUUGCAAGGCGAACGAGGGGAAGUGAAACAUCUCAGUACCCUUAGGAAAAGAAAUCAAUUGAGAUUCCCUCAGUAGCGGCGAGCGAACGGGGAUCAGCCCAUUAAGUUAUGUGUGUUUUAGUGGAACGCUCUGGGAAGUGCGAACGUAGAGGGUGAUAUUCCCGUACACGAAAGGGCACACAUAAUGAUGACGAGUAGGGCGAGGCACGUGAAACCUUGUCUGAAUAUGGGGGGACCAUCCUCCAAGGCUAAAUACUCCUGACUGACCGAUAGUGAACCAGUACCGUGAGGGAAAGGCGAAAAGAACCCCUGUGAGGGGAGUGAAAUAGAUCCUGAAACCGCAUGCAUACAAGCAGUGGGAGCACCUUCGUGGUGUGACUGCGUACCUUUUGUAUAAUGGGUCAGCGACUUAUAUUCAGUAGCGAGGUUAACCGUAUAGGGGAGCCGUAGAGAAAUCGAGUCUUAAUAGGGCGUUUAGUUGCUGGGUAUAGACCCGAAACCAGGCGAUCUAUCCAUGAGCAGGUUGAAGGUUGGGUAACACUAACUGGAGGACCGAACCCACUGUCGUUGAAAAGCCAGGGGAUGACUUGUGGAUAGGGGUGAAAGGCUAAUCAAGCCUGGUGAUAGCUGGUUCUCCCCGAAAGCUAUUUAGGUAGCGCCUCGGACGAAUACCAUAGGGGGUAGAGCACUGUUUCGGCUAGGGGGUCAUCCCGACUUACCAAACCGAUGCAAACUCCGAAUACCUAUGAGUACUAUCCGGGAGACAGACUGCGGGUGCUAACGUCCGUAGUCAAGAGGAAAACAAUCCAGACCGCCAGCUAAGGCCCCAAAAUCAUAGUUAAGUGGGAAACGAUGUGGGAAGGCAUAGACAGCUAGGAGGUUGGCUUAGAAGCAGCCACCCUUUAAAGAAAGCGUAAUAGCUCACUAGUCGAGUCGGCCUGCGCGGAAGAUGUAACGGGGCUAAAACUAUGUGCCGAAGCUGCGGAUGUAUACUUUGUAUACGUGGUAGGGGAGCGUUCUGUAAGCCGAUGAAGGUGUGUUGAGAAGCAUGCUGGAGGUAUCAGAAGUGCGAAUGCUGACGUGAGUAACGACAAAACGGGUGAAAAACCCGUUCGCCGAAAGACCAAGGGUUCCAGUCCAACGUUAAUCGGGGCUGGGUGAGUCGACCCCUAAGGCGAGGCCGAAAGGCGUAGUCGAUGGGAAAAUGGUUAAUAUUCCAUUACUUCUGUGUAAUGCGAUGAGAGGACGGAGAAGGCUAAAUCAGCCUGGCGUUGGUUGUCCAGGUGAAAGGAUGUAGGCAUGUAUCUUAGGCAAAUCCGGGGUACUCUAUGCUGAGAUCUGAUAGCAAGCUGUACUUGUACAGCGAAGUGGUUGAUGCCAUGCUUCCAGGAAAAGUCUCUAAGCUUCAGUUACACAGGAAUCGUACCCGAAACCGACACAGGUGGUCAGGUCGAGUAGACCAAGGCGCUUGAGAGAACUCUGCUGAAGGAACUAGGCAAAAUGGUACCGUAACUUCGGGAGAAGGUACGCUGUUGUUGGUGAUGGAACUCGCUUCCUGAGCUGACGACAGCCGCAGAAACCAGGCCGCUGCAACUGUUUAUUAAAAACAUAGCACUCUGCAAACACGAAAGUGGACGUAUAGGGUGUGAUGCCUGCCCGGUGCUGGAAGGUUAAUUGAUGGGGUUAGCGUAAGCGAAGCUCUUGAUCGAAGCCCCAGUAAACGGCGGCCGUAACUAUAACGGUCCUAAGGUAGCGAAAUUCCUUGUCGGGUAAGUUCCGACCU
This 1950-nucleotide ribosomal RNA is filed under the name Acinetobacter baumannii 754286. RNAcentral's name for it is "bacterial LSU rRNA". It matches the Rfam family "Bacterial large subunit ribosomal RNA", at positions 3 to 1989 of the family's 2925-position model. The record is from RNAcentral. Lineage: Bacteria; Pseudomonadati; Pseudomonadota; Gammaproteobacteria; Moraxellales; Moraxellaceae.